GUGGGGAAUCUUGCGCAAUGGGCGAAAGCCUGACGCAGCCAUGCCGCGUGAAUGAUGAAGGUCUUAGGAUUGUAAAAUUCUUUCACCGGGGACGAUAAUGACGGUACCCGGAGAAGAAGCUCCGGCUAACUUCGUGCCAGCAGCCGCGGUAAUACGAAGGGGGCUAGCGUUGCUCGGAAUUACUGGGCGUAAAGGGCGCGUAGGCGGACAGCUUAGUCAGAGGUGAAAGCCCAGGGCUCAACCUUGGAAUUGCCUUUGAUACUGGCUGUCUUGAGUUUGGGAGAGGUGAGUGGAACUCCGAGUGUAGAGGUGAAAUUCGUAGAUAUUCGGAAGAACACCAGUGGCGAAGGCGACUCACUGGCUCAUUACUGACGCUGAGGCGCGAAAGCGUGGGGAGCAAACAGGAUUAGAAACCCUAGUAGUCC
This 425-nucleotide ribosomal RNA is filed under the name uncultured bacterium. Its description in RNAcentral is "partial 16S ribosomal RNA". It matches the Rfam family "Bacterial small subunit ribosomal RNA", at positions 354 to 796 of the family's 1533-position model. The record is from RNAcentral.